GGAGCGCGGAGCGCGCGCGCGCGCGCGCGUGGCGGCGCCCCGGCGCGGGGCCGGGUCCGGCGGGCCAGUCGGUCGGCUCCCCGCGCCGCUCCGUUUGUUCCUGGGUUCGUUCGUUCGUUCGUUCCUUCCUUCCCCGGCCCCGCGCCGGCGCCGGCGCGGGGUUGGAAAGAGGGGGAGAGGGGCGGGGGGCGCGGCCGGCCCCCUUCCCCGUUUCCGUCCCCGCGGCGCGUGCCGUGGGACGGGCUCCCUCCGUUUUACCCGAGCCCGGGGGGUUGACCUGGCGGCCGGGCUAGGGGGCGCUCCGCGUCCCCCUUCGGGGGGUUGACCUGUCGGGCG
Molecule: unclassified non-coding RNA, 336 nt
Filed under: Gallus gallus (chicken)
Lineage: Eukaryota; Metazoa; Chordata; Aves; Galliformes; Phasianidae
Description: 3' external transcribed spacer
Source: RNAcentral